RNAcentral lists this transfer RNA (72 nucleotides) under Camelus bactrianus (Bactrian camel). It matches the Rfam family "tRNA". Rfam says of the family: Transfer RNA (tRNA) molecules are approximately 80 nucleotides in length. Lineage: Eukaryota; Metazoa; Chordata; Mammalia; Artiodactyla; Camelidae. The record is from Rfam by way of RNAcentral. RNAcentral also lists the same sequence under 2 other names.
GAAAGCAUAGCUCAGUGGUAGAGUGUGUGCUUAGCAUGCAUGAGGUCCUGGGUUCAAUCCCCAGUACCUCCA